This 538-nucleotide ribosomal RNA is filed under the name Plagiotremus rhinorhynchos (bluestriped fangblenny). RNAcentral describes it as "partial 16S ribosomal RNA". It matches the Rfam family "Bacterial large subunit ribosomal RNA", at positions 1915 to 2605 of the family's 2925-position model. The record is from RNAcentral. Lineage: Eukaryota; Metazoa; Chordata; Actinopteri; Blenniiformes; Blenniidae.
GAUUUUUAUUUAACGGCCGCGGUAUCUUAACCGUGCGAAGGUAGCGCAAUCACUUGCCCUUUAAAUGAGGACCUGUAUGAAUGGCGUGACGAGGGCUUAACUGUCUCCUCCCUCCAGUCAAUGAAAUUGAUCUCCCCGUGCAGAAGCGGGGAUAAGCUUAUAAGACGAGAAGACCCUGUGGAGCUUUAGGCAACUAUAAACUUUGUAAAGAAAACUCACCUAACGAGACAAAACAAUAAGAACCUUAAUAUACUGCCUUCGGUUGGGGCGACCGCGGGGUAAUAAAAACCCCCCAUGUGGAAUGGGGACAACAAUCCCCUAAACUUAGAGUGACAACUCAAAGCAACAAAAUCUUUGACCUAAGAUGAUCCGGCUUUACCGAUCAACGAAACCAGUUACCCCAGGGAUAACAGCGCUAUCCUUUCCUAGAGUCCCUAUCGACGAAAGGGUUUACGACCUCGAUGUUGGAUCAGGACAUCCUAAUGGUGCAACCGCUAUUAAGGGUUUGUUUGUUCAACAAUUAAAGUCCUACGUGAUU